UACGUAGGACCCAAGCGUUAUCCGGAGUGACUGGGCGUAAAGAGUUGCGUAGGCGGUUUGUAAAGCGAAUAGUGAAAUCUGGUGGCUCAACCACACAGGCUAUUAUUCGAACUCACAAACUCGAGAGUAGCAGAGGUAACUGGAAUUUCUUGUGUAGGAGUGAAAUCCGUAGAUAUAAGAAGGAACACCAAUGGCGUAGGCAGGUUACUGGGCUAUUUCUGACGCUAAGGCACGAAAGCGUGGGGAGCGAACCGG
RNAcentral lists this ribosomal RNA (255 nucleotides) under uncultured bacterium. RNAcentral describes it as "partial 16S ribosomal RNA". It matches the Rfam family "Bacterial small subunit ribosomal RNA", at positions 524 to 776 of the family's 1533-position model. The record is from RNAcentral.